GACGAACGCUGGCGGCGUGCUUAACACAUGCAAGUCGAACGGAAAGGCCCUGCUUUUGUGGGGUGCUCGAGUGGCGAACGGGUGAGUAACACGUGAGUAACCUGCCCUUGACUUUGGGAUAACUUCAGGAAACUGGGGCUAAUACCGGAUAGGAGCUCCUGCUGCAUGGUGGGGGUUGGAAAGUUUCGGCGGUUGGGGAUGGACUCGCGGCUUAUCAGCUUGUUGGUGGGGUAGUGGCUUACCAAGGCUUUGACGGGUAGCCGGCCCGAGAGGGUGACCGGCCACAUUGGGACUGAGAUACGGCCCGGACUCCUACGGGAGGCAGCAGUGGGGAAUAUUGCACAAUGGGCGGAAGCCUGAUGCAGCAACGCCGCGUGCGGGAUGACGGCCUUCGGGUUGUAAACCGCUUUCGCCCGUGACGAAGCGUGAGUGACGGUAAUGGGUAAAGAAGCACCGGCUAACUACGUGCCAGCAGCCGCGGUGAUACGUAGGGUGCGAGCGUUGUCCGGAUUUAUUGGGCGUAAAGGGCUCGUAGGUGGUUGAUCGCGUCGGAAGUGUAAUCUUGGGGCUUAACCCUGAGCGUGCUUUCGAUACGGGUUGACUUGAGGAAGGUAGGGGAGAAUGGAAUUCCUGGUGGAGCGGUGGAAUGCGCAGAUAUCAGGAGGAACACCAGUGGCGAAGGCGGUUCUCUGGGCCUUUCCUGACGCUGAGGAGCGAAAGCGUGGGGAGCGAACAGGCUUAGAUACCCUGGUAGUCCACGCUGUAAACGGUGGGUACUAGGUGUGGGGUCCAUUCCACGGGUUCCGUGCCGUAGCUAACGCUUUAAGUACCCCGCCUGGGGAGUACGGCCGCAAGGCUAAAACUCAAAGGAAUUGACGGGGCCCCGCACAAGCGGCGGAGCAUGCGGAUUAAUUCGAUGCAACGCGUAGAACCUUACCUGGGUUUGACAUGGAUCGGGAGUGCUCAGAGAUGGGUGUGCCUCUUUUGGGGUCGGUUCACAGGUGGUGCAUGGCUGUCGUCAGCUCGUGUCGUGAGAUGUUGGGUUAAGUCCCGCAACGAGCGCAACCCUUGUUCACUGUUGCCAGCACGUUAUGGUGGGGACUCAGUGGAGACCGCCGGGGUCAACUCGGAGGAAGGUGGGGAUGACGUCAAGUCAUCAUGCCCCUUAUGUCCAGGGCUUCACGCAUGCUACAAUGGCUGGUACAGAGAGUGGCGAGCCUGUGAGGGUGAGCGAAUCUCGGAAAGCCGGUCUCAGUUCGGAUUGGGGUCUGCAACUCGACCUCAUGAAGUCGGAGUCGCUAGUAAUCGCAGAUCAGCAACGCUGCGGUGAAUACGUUCCCGGGGCU
Molecule: ribosomal RNA, 1346 nt
Filed under: uncultured bacterium
Lineage: Bacteria
Description: partial 16S ribosomal RNA
Rfam family: Bacterial small subunit ribosomal RNA
Source: RNAcentral